Molecule: ribosomal RNA, 715 nt
Filed under: uncultured bacterium
Lineage: Bacteria
Description: bacterial SSU rRNA
Rfam family: Bacterial small subunit ribosomal RNA
Source: RNAcentral
GACGAACGCUGGCGGCCCGUCUAAGACAUGCAAGUCGAACGAGCGAGAGAGAGCUUGCUCCCUCAAGCGAGUGGCGAACGGGUGAGUAACGCGUGAGGAACCUGCCUCAAAGAGGGGGACAACAGUUGGAAACGACUGCUAAUACCGCAUAAGCCCACAGCUCGGCAUCGAGCAGAGGGAAAAGGAGUGAUCCGCUUUGAGAUGGCCUCGCGUCCGAUUAGCUGGUUGGUGAGGUAACGGCCCACCAAGGCGACGAUCGGUAGCCGGACUGAGAGGUUGAACGGCCACAUUGGGACUGAGACACGGCCCAGACUCCUACGGGAGGCAGCAGUGGGGAAUAUUGCACAAUGGGGGAAACCCUGAUGCAGCGACGCCGCGUGGAGGAAGAAGGUCUUCGGAUUGUAAACUCCUGUUGUUGAGGAAGAUAAUGACGGUACUCAACAAGGAAGUGACGGCUAACUACGUGCCAGCAGCCGCGGUAAAACGUAGGUCACAAGCGUUGUCCGGAAUUACUGGGUGUAAAGGGAGCGCAGGCGGGAAAGCAAGUUGGAAGUGAAAUCCAUGGGCUCAACCCAUGAACUGCUUUCAAAACUGUUUUUCUUGAGUAGUGCAGAGGUAGGCGGAAUUCCCGGUGUAGCGGUGGAAUGCGUAGAUAUCGGGAGGAACACCAGUGGCGAAGGCGGUCUACUGGGCACCAACUGACGCUGAGGCUCGA